UGGAAAUGAUGAAAUAGACAUAAUUGGGUGUUGAAUGUUAUAUGAUAGGAAAUUUUUAAUAUGUAAGUUAUAUAAUUAAUCUAAGUUUCUUUAAAAAGUACAGCAUCAAA
Non-coding RNA from Canis lupus familiaris (dog), 110 nucleotides. NCBI's taxonomy places the organism in Eukaryota, Metazoa, Chordata, Mammalia, Carnivora, Canidae. The record is from Rfam.